Long non-coding RNA from Homo sapiens (human), 350 nucleotides. Ensembl annotates it as HCFC1 antisense RNA 1. Its record names the gene HCFC1-AS1. Lineage: Eukaryota; Metazoa; Chordata; Mammalia; Primates; Hominidae. The record is from Ensembl.
CAGGGGAUCGCUAGAGCCCCCAGGAGAGAACGGCCGCGGAGCAAGGGGGAGGCAGAAGAGCGGGUGGGGUAACCCCCUGGAUCCGCAGAAGCGGGGAGACACACGACUACGCAGGCCGCUGAGGGGUAACUGGAAUUCAGCUUGUAAACCAGAAGGCACCAGAUUAGGAGAAGGGGCGACUUGGAAAGAAAUGCUGCAGAAGUAAACGUGGAAAGGGAGAGGCGGCCCUGCCGCCGGCCCGUCCUAGGGGUCCCCAAGGCUCCGGCAUUACCCGGGUCGGCGGAUGUUAAACUCUGCGUCCUAAGAGCGCUUCCCUUCCCUCCCUUUUUCGAGAGACAGAGAACGAAUCU